Long non-coding RNA from Engraulis encrasicolus (European anchovy), 1315 nucleotides. RefSeq lists it as uncharacterized. The transcript has 4 exons. The record is from RefSeq and is a predicted model, not a curated record. NCBI's taxonomy places the organism in Eukaryota, Metazoa, Chordata, Actinopteri, Clupeiformes, Engraulidae.
UAAUAUAUUUGUCUGUAUAAUAUUUUGUGAAUUGGUUUAGGACACAGUGGUGUCUUUUUUUAAGCAAGUAUCCAUUGAGAGGGGUCAGAGGAUUAGCUCAAGCUCCAACAUAUCUAGCUGCUACCUUGCUUAACAUAGCUGCUACCUCAAUCGCUUUAUUUUUUUGUGUUUUUUUCCCCCUGUGGCAUUUAUUCUGUGCACAUGAACACGUUUUCAGAAUUGCUAUGUGUAACUCAGACGGUUACUCUUGUGUGUUUUGCUGCUAGUUGUGCGAACGAGCCAGACAAACCAGCUGGGAGGAGGACGGAAGCACCCCUUCUCCAUCCGCGUUCAGUUGCUAAAUACGGAUCCACCCCGUAGUAAGUAACCUACCAUGUUUACGCACACAUUACUUUGACCAGCAAAGCCCAUGUCUUUCUAGUGGUUUACAAAAAUAUAUCGUUUGCAUGUUUUGCUUUGGUACGUCUCUGUUGUAUGACUCUGGUAAUAGUAGCAAGCACAAGCACAACCUGUUUGCCGCUCCAGCAUUGCAAAAUAUAUUGCCUUGGGUUUUCAAAUGUUUACAUGAUUGUGGGUGUAAUGUUGUUAACUCGCUGAUGUCGUUUUUGAGAAGACGGUAGUUUUGCAUUUGAUAAAUACCACCUAAUGACCAUGACGGCUACACGGCAGAUCUUUAUUGUGAUGGCUACACUGAAUGAUCACAUGGAGAUGCCGGUACAUUAUUUGUUUUACCCUGGUUAUAUUGAAAUGUUCUGCUUUGUCCAUUCCAAGGUGUGGUGUUUUCCAUAGCUGCUCCUUGCUCCUGUUUCACAACAUAUCAAGGCUGCCAAGUAAAUGAAGAAUGAAUCACCGCACACUGGUCAACAGCCGACAGGGUCCUUCCACAACCACAUACUUAUGCCAGUAAAAGCCACAGCUUUUCUCCUCCAAUCCAAGAAGCCUGGACUGCAGUCACCAUCUCAACACACCAACCAAGAGAAAGGCGGAUGGCUCAAUUCAAUAUGGAAAAUUGCACAAUAAAAGUUCCAGGACAUGAAGGCUGCAUACUGUGAACGUCAACCUUCAGGGCACCGUCCUGCGCAGAAGACUUUCUACCCUAAGAGGGAUGGCUGACCGCAGACACUCACAACCAGCACAGACGCCUCCAACCUCAAACCAGGCCCUUCACAGUUGCUGCACUUACCCACCUUCCCAGAGUUUUUGUGUGGUAAUGACAACUGUAAAUAUAGUAUAAAGUAAUGUAUCUAGUGUCAUGUGUAAUACAUUGUUUAAAUUGUCCAUACAUUUCAAUGACAGUAAAUAUUGGUGGACACAA